RNAcentral lists this ribosomal RNA (441 nucleotides) under uncultured bacterium. RNAcentral's name for it is "partial 16S ribosomal RNA". It matches the Rfam family "Bacterial small subunit ribosomal RNA", at positions 338 to 795 of the family's 1533-position model. The record is from RNAcentral.
CCUACGGGAGGCAGCAGUGGGGAAUAUUGCACAAUGGGGGAAACUCUGAUGCAGCAACGCCGCGUGAAGGAAGACGGCUUUCUGAUUGUAAACUUCCGUUCUUAGUGAAGAAUACUGACGGUAUCUAACGUAUCAGCACCGGCUAACUCCGUGCCAGCAGCCGCGGUAAUACGGAGGGUGCAAGCGUUACUCGGAAUCACUGGGCGUAAAGAGCGCGUAGGCGGGAUAGCAAGUCAUAUGUGAAAUCCUAUGGCUUAACCAUAGAACUGCAUUUGAAACUGUUAGUCUAGAGUAUGGGAGAGGUAGGUGGAAUUCUUGGUGUAGGGGUAAAAUCCGUAGAGAUCAAGAGGAAUACUCAUGGCGAAGGCGACCUGCUAGAACAUAACUGACGCUGAGGCGCGAAAGCGUGGGGAGCAAACAGGAUUAGAUACCCGAGUAGUC